GUGGGGAAUUUUGGACAAUGGGCGCAAGCCUGAUCCAGCAAUGCCGCGUGCAGGAAGAAGGCCUUCGGGUUGUAAACUGCUUUUGUACGGAACGAAACGGUCCUGGCUAAUAUCCGGGGCUAAUGACGGUACCGUAAGAAUACGCACCGGCUAACUACGUGCCAGCAGCCGCGGUAAUACGUAGGGUGCGAGCGUUAAUCGGAAUUCCUGGGCGUAAAGCGUGCGCCGGCGGUGCUGUAAGACAGGCGUGAAAUCCCCGGGCUCAACCUGGGAAUUGGGCUGGGGACGGCAGGGAUGGAGGGCGGCAGAGGGGGAUGGAAUUCCGCGUGUAGCAGUGAAAUGCGUAGAUAUGCGGAGGAACACCGAUGGCGAAGGCAAUCCCCUGGGCCUGCACUGACGCUCAUGCACGAAAGCGUGGGGAGCAAACAGGAUUAGAUACCCCAGUAGUCC
RNAcentral lists this ribosomal RNA (450 nucleotides) under uncultured bacterium. RNAcentral's name for it is "partial 16S ribosomal RNA". It matches the Rfam family "Bacterial small subunit ribosomal RNA", at positions 354 to 796 of the family's 1533-position model. The record is from RNAcentral.